UACCAGCUGGCUGCAACUGUUUAUUAAAAACACAGCACUGUGCAAACACGAAAGUGGACGUAUACGGUGUGACGCCUGCCCGGUGCCGGAAGGUUAAUUGAUGGGGUCAGCGCAAGCGAAGCUCCUGAUCGAAGCCCCGGUAAACGGCGGCCGUAACUAUAACGGUCCUAAGGUAGCGAAAUUCCUUGUCGGGUAAGUUCCGACCUGCACGAAUGGCGUAAUGAUGGCCAGGCUGUCUCCACCCGAGACUCAGUGAAAUUGAACUCGCUGUGAAGAUGCAGUGUACCCGCGGCAAGACGGAAAGACCCCGUGAACCUUUACUAUAGCUUGACACUGAACAUUGAGCCUUGAUGUGUAGGAUAGGUGGGAGGCUUUGAAGCGUGGACGCCAGUCUGCGUGGAGCCGACCUUGAAAUACCACCCUUUAAUGUUUGAUGUUCUAACGUGGACCCGUAAUCCGGGUUGCGGACAGUGUCUGGUGGGUAGUUUGACUGGGGCGGUCUCCUCCUAAAGAGUAACGGAGGAGCACGAAGGUUGGCUAAUCCUGGUCGGACAUCAGGAGGUUAGUGCAAUGGCAUAAGCCAGCUUGACUGCGAGCGUGACGGCGCGAGCAGGUGCGAAAGCAGGUCAUAGUGAUCCGGUGGUUCUGAAUGGAAGGGCCAUCGCUCAACGGAUAAAAGGUACUCCGGGGAUAACAGGCUGAUACCGCCCAAGAGUUCAUAUCGACGGCGGUGUUUGGCACCUCGAUGUCGGCUCAUCACAUCCUGGGGCUGAAGUAGGUCCCAAGGGUAUGGCUGUUCGCCAUUUAAAGUGGUACGCGAGCUGGGUUUAGAACGUCGUGAGACAGUUCGGUCCCUAUCUGCCGUGGGCGCUGGAAGAUUGAGGGGGGCUGCUCCUAGUACGAGAGGACCGGAGUGGACGCAUCACUGGUGUUCGGGUUGUCAUGCCAAUGGCACUGCCCGGUAGCUAAAUGCGGAAAAGAUAAGUGCUGAAAGCAUCUAAGCACGAAACUUGCCCCGAGAUGAGUCUUCCCUGAGACUUUGAGUCUCCUGAAGGAACGUUAAAGACGAUGACGUUGAUAGGCCGGGUGUGUAAGCGCAGCGAUGCGUUGAGCUAACCGGUACUAAUGAACCGUGAGGCUUAACCUU
Molecule: ribosomal RNA, 1147 nt
Filed under: Salmonella enterica
Lineage: Bacteria; Pseudomonadati; Pseudomonadota; Gammaproteobacteria; Enterobacterales; Enterobacteriaceae
Also listed under: 2 other names
Description: partial 23S ribosomal RNA
Rfam family: Bacterial large subunit ribosomal RNA
Source: RNAcentral